This 510-nucleotide ribosomal RNA is filed under the name Pezizales sp. RT00056. RNAcentral describes it as "eukaryotic LSU rRNA". The stretch from base 129 to 282 matches the Rfam family "5.8S ribosomal RNA". The record is from RNAcentral. Lineage: Eukaryota; Fungi; Ascomycota; Pezizomycetes; Pezizales.
CCGGGGGAGGACCCAACCGGANCACACGAUGNCGACCAACGCACCUGUCCACCCCCCCUCCUACCUGUYUGAAGGCCAGCGCGGCCAUGGAGGAGAAGGAGCGAGCGAGAGAAGAGACUAAUGCAAAAAACUUUCAACAACGGAUCUCUUGGUUCCCGCAUCGAUGAAGAACGCAGCGAAAUGCGAUAAGUAAUGUGAAUUGCAGAAUUCAGUGAAUCAUCGAAUCUUUGAACGCACAUUGCGCCCCCUGGCAUUCCGGGGGGCAUGCCUGUUCGAGCGUCUCCGGGAAGAAGACUCACGCGGGGUGACCCCUGACGCGUGGUGGUGGCGGCGGUGGCGGUCCCAGCACGGGAGGCCACCCCGGCGGAAUUCAUGGGCGGACGGCCGCCGCGUCGCAGAGCGUGAUAUUUCGCUAUCGCCUCGAGCGCGGAGAGGCUGCCAGCCCUCGCCAGCCCUCGCCAGCCCUCGCCCGUAGGCGGGGCUUGGGAGGUCUGGGAUAUCCAUGACAAU